Long non-coding RNA from Tupaia belangeri chinensis (Chinese tree shrew), 764 nucleotides. RefSeq lists it as uncharacterized. Lineage: Eukaryota; Metazoa; Chordata; Mammalia; Scandentia; Tupaiidae. The record is from RefSeq and is a predicted model, not a curated record. The transcript has 5 exons.
GCCCCCGUAACCCCCUCCCCUCCCCCGGAGGCAGCGCUGACCGGACAAUGGCCGCUCCGCCCCCUCCCCUCCAGACGCACCCCUCCCAAGGAGUCACAAUGGUCUCGCCCGGGGGAGCCGCCGCCAAAGCCCAGCAGCUGAUCAGCUGGGAUCCGGGCGUGCCACUUUGUUCAGCGCCUCAAAGGCAGAGUCCGCGGCCGGGAGCGAAGCCGACAACGUCGGCCUGUCGCUUUGCGACGGGCUUCUCAAGCCUUCGUUUGCUCACAACUUUUCAAACCUGAGGCAAACUCACAUGCCCCCGUCUGAGGAAGCAGAGCAGGGUUCCGAGUAGGUGGGGGCGCGUUGCCUCCCCCCACGCGUGAAUGGUACGCCCCGAGCGGGCGGGGAGGAGCGGAUUGCUUGUUUAGGAUCUGCUUCAGAGUCUGCAGACCUGCCUCCACUGCUGCUCACCCUCCCUUCCCGUCCUGGAAGAGAUGCCGGGAGUCCAAGAGGAGGAAUUGAGAAGUCAGGACCAUGGGAGCUGUGAUGAACGUUGGUGCUCCCUGCGAGGAGAUCCUUGUCUGCGAAAUGGGAUUACCCUGCCUUCCUCCUGGGGUUGAGUUUUACAUGUUAACUAUUGACUUCAUACUAUGGAAGAUGAAAAGACCGAGUCCCACGAUGUCACCUGGAUAUUUUAAUAGACGGGAUCUUGCAAAGUUGUCUCCCAAACAGCUGCGACUACAUGCAAACACCACAGUGCCUGACUUUUUUUUUAAAUUUUUUUA